This is a long non-coding RNA of Corticium candelabrum, 755 nucleotides long. RefSeq lists it as uncharacterized. The transcript is spliced from 4 exons. Lineage: Eukaryota; Metazoa; Porifera; Homoscleromorpha; Homosclerophorida; Plakinidae. The record is from RefSeq and is a predicted model, not a curated record.
UAUUUCUGUUCCUUUGGCCAUGCUAAAGCUUGUACAGGCUUCAGAGGCUUCUUUGUAGUCUACGCAACAACCUGCAGCUGUAAACUGUCCCGAUCUAACCGUGGCUUGUACUCUCCGAUCACUAGAUAAUUAAUUAAUUCACUAGAUAAUUAUCUAGUGUGAAUAGACGUACGGCAGGCUAUGACAGUGAAAGGCAAUGGUUACAAGGAGAGUCUAUUUCCUUACUGUAUAAAGUACAUACAGAAGCAAACUGUUGUCUGUUCGUCUUUGCGCAUGCAGCAGGGUGUUUACACCUCAAGAUCUUGGAAGAUCCUGGAAGACCACCACAGCUGCCAAGAUCUUGGCUUGAUUUUGUAGUAUAUGUAGACGGUACAAGCUCACUUGGUUUACACAAGGUGUUCCGUAAUUUCUUGCCAUGUAGAACCCCAAGAUCUUUGUCAACUUUACUGAAAUUUACUCUUGAGUUAACAGAUGCCAUCAAGAAAUGCUGAACGUCUAAGAACAGCAAGAUAUUCCAUGUUCUUACCAAGAAUGUAUACAAGCAUUGAUUUAUACUUUCAAACUGUAACAAUUAUGGCCUGUAUAGUCUAGCUAUGUGUAGUGAAGACAAAUGUAUGAUGUAUAGACUUACAUGCUGUUGCUCAUACAGAUAGACUGGCAUUUUUACUGUUCUAAAAAUUUUAGAGCACAUAUACAGUAUAUUGCAGCUAGAUACUACUAGUAAAGUUGUAGCGUUAAAUUAUUAAUAUCAAAUA